UACGUAGGUGGCAAGCGUUGUCCGGAAUUACUGGGUGUAAAGGGAGCGUAGGCGGGAUGUCAAGUCAGAAGUGAAAAUUAUGGGCUCAACUCAUAACCUGCUUUUGAAACUGAUAUUCUUGAGUGAAGUAGAGGCAAGCGGAAUUCCUAGUGUAGCGGUGAAAUGCGUAGAUAUCGAGAGGAACACUCGUGGCGAAGGCGGGUUCCUGGACAUUAACUGACGCUGAGGCACGAAGGCCAGGGGAGCGAAAGGG
Molecule: ribosomal RNA, 253 nt
Filed under: uncultured Ruminococcus sp.
Lineage: Bacteria; Bacillati; Bacillota; Clostridia; Eubacteriales; Oscillospiraceae
Description: partial 16S ribosomal RNA
Rfam family: Bacterial small subunit ribosomal RNA
Source: RNAcentral